Molecule: transfer RNA, 73 nt
Filed under: Felis catus (domestic cat)
Lineage: Eukaryota; Metazoa; Chordata; Mammalia; Carnivora; Felidae
Also listed under: 3 other names
Rfam family: tRNA
About the family: Transfer RNA (tRNA) molecules are approximately 80 nucleotides in length. Their secondary structure includes four short double-helical elements and three loops (D, anti-codon, and T loops).
Source: Rfam by way of RNAcentral
ACCUGGCUGGCUCAGUGGGAAGAGCCUGAGACUCUUGAUCUUGGGGUGGUGGGUUCGGGCCCCAUGUUGGGUG